This is a non-coding RNA of Arachis ipaensis, 687 nucleotides long. The record is from RefSeq and is a predicted model, not a curated record. NCBI's taxonomy places the organism in Eukaryota, Viridiplantae, Streptophyta, Magnoliopsida, Fabales, Fabaceae.
AAUCCCGGCAGGGCCUGAAUGGGUCGCAGAUAGAGUGUCCGGAGUGCCCCUUAUUAGUUGCAAUGUUUAUUGCUAAAGGGUAUUAUCGGGAAUUGGCGUUGUUAUUAAUAUUCUCUAUAUUGUUCUAUUCAAUCAAUCUUUAUUGUUUCCUUAAAUAAUGCUAUAGUGUAGUGAGUGUGGUGAAUUUGUGAUCCUCCUCUUUAGCUUGCACUAAAAGUUUCAACUUUCUUGCCACCCUUUACAAUACAAUUCAGGCUCUACAUAGAUCAGAAAUUGGCUUGGUUUCACAGGAUACCCUUUCAAUAUCCCUCAUUGCAUUGCUUGCCACACUAAACAAGUUCCUAGGAGGAAUGUCCAAAUAAGUACUAUCUCAACUGAUCUGGAUGGAGCUCCCUUUGGGUGCAUUCAUGCUCUCACACAAGCACAUGUGUUGAUGGACAUAAUCCACAUAUUAUCAGGAAAGAUUUGCCCUUCUCUUGGACUAAUGUAUAUGAGGUCACUAGUAUGUCUUCAGCUUUAGGUAAACAGAAGUUUUACCUAGUACUUUGCUGUGUUCUUCAGUUUCAACUAUAGCUUUGGGAUAUUUUUUAUUGUAAAAUUGUAAAUUAGCUUGCCAUUUGAUUCAUCUCAUCUUUUUAAUACAUGUUUGUUACUUCUAAUUGGGUUGAUCUUUCAGGACACCAAAAU